This 351-nucleotide long non-coding RNA is filed under the name Elaeis guineensis (African oil palm). RNAcentral describes it as "long non-coding RNA (EGUI_LNC007643)". Lineage: Eukaryota; Viridiplantae; Streptophyta; Magnoliopsida; Arecales; Arecaceae. The record is from RNAcentral.
CUCCCAUACCCCUGAAUUCUUUUGGUCUACACACUGUGGACCAAUUCAGUAGACUGAUAUCUAAUUUAUUUUUCUGUAAAUUAUUUCAGAGGAUUCUACAAUGAAGCUUAUCGUUUUUUCUGAUAACGUCACUAGGCAAAAUAAAAUUGGCUGCCCAGAAUCCCACGAUUGGAGUGAUGAUAGCAUUUAGCAAUGUUAUAUGGCCAGCAAUGGAAAGAAAUAGACCUUUUCAACCAGCAAGUUUCUUGAUAAUUUUUUUCAGUAACAGGGUCCACUCAUUUUUCUUGAGCUUGCGGAUAUGAAGAGGCAUACCCAGAUAUGUAAGAGGAAAGGAUGCUGAUUGACUACCCA